AAUUGCUGUUAAUUUACGUCAAAAUUUUAACAGUAUAAACCCGUUAUUUUAAAAAGCAGUGCUUACCUGUUUAUUUAUGUUCGGUGAAAUGACCUAGAAAAAAUUUAACGUUAUUUUACCGUAUUUAUUGCUCGAAGGAAAGAAAACAGUACUUAACAGUAUUUUGGGAACAGAAAGCUGCAGCGAGCACAUGUGGAUUUUCAUCCGUCUUUAUAUUGUGAUUUAACCGUGCUAAAAUCGUCAACGUUCCAACGGCAUCAUAGAUUGGAGCUGGAUAGAUUCAGAUAUCCCCCGAUUACAAGGCAUCUUCCACUGCAGCUGAUGUAGAAAGGACACUUGAACUACCUUCAACUCCUCGACUGAUACUCUUUGGUGAAAAACCAGGAAGCUGCAUUCAUAAAUGGAUUAUUAGUUUUGAAGGGCAAAUAAUCUGUGAGGGCAUCCAGCCAAGUUUUCUGUCUGGACUUGCUGCUGUGUUUUCAACUUUCUACAAUUUCAAUGUG
Molecule: long non-coding RNA, 503 nt
Organism: Carassius gibelio (silver crucian carp)
Lineage: Eukaryota; Metazoa; Chordata; Actinopteri; Cypriniformes; Cyprinidae
Exons: 4
Source: RefSeq, a predicted model, not a curated record